UCGCCGACUGUCGGGUUCUCUACGCCUCCUUUCUCCUUCGCGCGCGAACUCUUUCCUUCCUCCAUAGAACAACGACGACUCGCACAGGGACACCACCAGCGCCACGAAUCACAGCCAAAGUUGCCGCCGUUCGUCCAGUUCCCACUUCUAGGGCCAUGAACAAAACCGACCACCGUUGUCUUCGUCGGAAAACGCUUACACGUCAGAGUCGCCGGCACCACCCUCAUUCAAGAGUCUUUUUCCUCCGAUGCCAAACAUUUCCAGCAACAUCAUCGCCGGUGUCAAGGGCGAAAACACCUUUCCUUCUCUUUUUCUCAUUUCCUUUUCAAUAUUGUUCAUUUGAAUGUUGUUCUGUUGAUGGAAGUUUCUUCCAUUGGGAUAUUUUGGGUUAAAUCUGAUGGGAUUUUGUUUUACAGGUCAUAGAGGACAUUGAGCAUGGAGCUCGAGAUGUCAAUCUAGAGGGAAGGCGUUGGGUGUAACGACUGGGUGUAACGGUUGUUCAAAGGAUAGAGCUUAGAAUCUGGGUUUUGGUUUGUUCAAUCUGCUUGAUGGAGGCCUUGAAACAACCAUAUACAAGCAAACGAGCACAACCAUAUACAUGUAUUAUUCAUUCAUAUCUGAUUCAUUAAACAGAUGCCUUCACAUACGAUCAAGUUCAGA
Long non-coding RNA from Vigna radiata var. radiata (mung bean), 660 nucleotides. RefSeq lists it as uncharacterized. NCBI's taxonomy places the organism in Eukaryota, Viridiplantae, Streptophyta, Magnoliopsida, Fabales, Fabaceae. The record is from RefSeq and is a predicted model, not a curated record. The transcript is spliced from 2 exons.